Molecule: long non-coding RNA, 903 nt
Organism: Alligator mississippiensis (American alligator)
Lineage: Eukaryota; Metazoa; Chordata; Crocodylia; Alligatoridae
Exons: 3
Source: RefSeq, a predicted model, not a curated record
CCCAGCAUGGGGCCGUGCUGCACCACGCAGACAUCCCCUGAGAGACCUCACUGCUCCUUGGGAUUCGUCCCCAUAACCCUGCACCUGGGGCUGCACUGCCCACGCUACGCCUCACUCCCAGCCUGCUCCUGGUGCCUGCACACACUCUCCUGGGACGCCUUUGGUGCAAGGUCUGACUGAGUCCAGGUCUACUGCAGCCAGGAGAUAUAAGAGGUUCAAAGGCCUUGGGAGAACGGUCCCUAUUUCCCAUGGGCGGUGGCUCUGGCCGUGAUUCUGCCCCUUGUCGUUCUCCUGGGCAGUUUCUGCCUCUGGCGGCAGCACCGUGUGAAAGAGAGGCGCCGUGCAGACAAAGGUAACUUUUCUUCAUGGAUUUCCCUACGGAGGGAAGGGGGAGGUCUCAUGCUGUGCAGCUGGUGUCCCAGCAGGCCUUCAGGGCUCUCCUUGGAGAAGCUGUGUGUGAUGUGUGCUGAGGAGCUCCCCAAGAAAGCUCAUCCCCAGCACCCCCAGCCUGCUGCUCUGUCCCCCCCCCACCCCUGUGCAGUGCUGCGUGGGAGCCCCAGGGGCAGGGCUUGUCUCUCCAGGAGCCAGGGGCUAAGGGGCAGGAUGCAUAUGGGGGGAAGGCACAGAUUAGAGGGGCUGGAUUAGUUGUAGCAGGAGAGAAGGAGGGUGGUGAGAAAUUGGGCUGUCAGGAUUUAGGGGAGGCUACACCAGCAGAGUUACAGAGAGUUGGCAACCAUGGUACUGACUCGUGUCUUUAUUUUCUCUCCUCCCCUUUCCUUCCUGGGACCCUUGGCAGAGCUGGGUAAGUUGUGGUUUUGGUUUUUGCAGUGUCUUGUCCACUGACAUGUGUCCUGUGGGGUUUGUGCCUGGUUGUGUGACCUCUGGUUUCUGGUUAUUUCAGGA